GGGGAAUAUUGCACAAUGGGGGAAACCCUGAUGCAGCAACGCCGCGUGAAGGAUGACGGUUUUCGGAUUGUAAACUUCUUUUCUUAGUGACGAAGACAGUGACGGUAGCUAAGGAAUAAGCAUCGGCUAACUACGUGCCAGCAGCCGCGGUAAUACGUAGGAUGCAAGCGUUAUCCGGAUUUACUGGGUGUAAAGGGAGCGCAGGCGGGACUGCAAGUUGGAUGUGAAAUACCGUGGCUUAACCACGGAACUGCAUCCAAAACUGUAGUUCUUGAGUGAAGUAGAGGCAAGCGGAAUUCCGAGUGUAGCGGUGAAAUGCGUAGAUAUUCGGAGGAACACCAGUGGCGAAGGCGGCUUGCUGGGCUUUAACUGACGCUGAGGCUCGAAAGUGUGGGGAGCAAACAGGAUUAGAUACCCUGGUAGUCCACACUGUAAACGAUGAUAGCUAGGUGUGGGGGGUCUGACCCCUUCCGUGCCGGAGUUAACGCAAUAAGCUAUCCACCUGGGGAGUACGACCGCAAGGUUGAAACUCAAAGGAAUUGACGGGGGCCCGCACAAGCAGUGGAUUAUGUGGUUUAAUUCGAAGCAACGCGAAGAACCUUACCAGGCCUUGACAUCCGACUAACGAGAUAGAGAUAUGUCAGGUGCCCUUCGGGGAAAGUCGAGACAGGUGGUGCAUGGUUGUCGUCAGCUCGUGUCGUGAGAUGUUGGGUUAAGUCCCGCAACGAGCGCAACCCCUGCCAUUAGUUGCUACGCAAGAGCACUCUAAUGGGACCGCUACCGACAAGGUGGAGGAAGGUGGGGACGACGUCAAAUCAUCAUGCCCCUUAUGACCUGGGCUACACACGUAAUACAAUGGCCGUUAACAGAGGGAAGCAAAGCGGUGACGCAGAGCAAAACCCUAAAAACGGUCCCAGUUCGGACUGUAGGCUGCAACCCGCCUACACGAAGUUGGAAUUGCUAGUAAUCGCGGAUCAGCAUGCCGCGGUGAAUACGUUCCCG
This 1002-nucleotide ribosomal RNA is filed under the name uncultured bacterium. RNAcentral describes it as "bacterial SSU rRNA". It matches the Rfam family "Bacterial small subunit ribosomal RNA", at positions 356 to 1376 of the family's 1533-position model. The record is from RNAcentral.